UUCACGGUACAAAUUUCAACAUUGAUGCUAUUAUUAAUUAUUAUUAUUAAUUCCUUUAUAAGGUGAGGAGUUAAUGUUUCAGUAUUCAGUCUCCUGAAGGAUUUCAAGAUGAAAUUGUUUGUGUUUGUUCUGUCUGUAUUCGCCAUCAUGGCUGCAGUGUUUGGUCAGGGGCGUGUCCGUCGCAAGCUGGACAUCAGGGACCAUCCCGUAUAUGGCCCCGAACAGCCCCGUGACGAAGGAUUUCUAAUUUCAAAUUCAAUUCAAAUUGGUUGAAAGCUUCAGGUUUCUUUAUGAAAAUAAAUGAAG
This is a long non-coding RNA of Plutella xylostella (diamondback moth), 306 nucleotides long. RefSeq lists it as uncharacterized. Lineage: Eukaryota; Metazoa; Arthropoda; Insecta; Lepidoptera; Plutellidae. The record is from RefSeq and is a predicted model, not a curated record.